Molecule: long non-coding RNA, 785 nt
Organism: Eucalyptus grandis
Lineage: Eukaryota; Viridiplantae; Streptophyta; Magnoliopsida; Myrtales; Myrtaceae
Exons: 2
Source: RefSeq, a predicted model, not a curated record
ACCCUUCGUCGAAGCAAAAAACCCACGUCUUGUAUUUAUUUUUCCCUUUGCUCUCUCCCUUUCUCUCUAUCCCACCUCUUUUCUCUAUACGCCUGGAGUCUCAUGUUUUCUUCUUCCCACACAUGAGCCACGCCCCUCACUGUUCCUCCUCAUGGGGUGGCUUCAGUCCCUCCUCUCUCCGUUGAAGAAGCUGUGGUUACGUCUCCACUCGCCUCCGAACAAGAGAAGAGGGAUAUACAUUCUGUACGAGGAUGUCAAAUCAUGCCCGUGUGAGGACGUUCAUGUGCUGUGGUCGAUUCUGGUGGAGGCGAACGCGCCAUCCUUGCCGUCCCCCGCCAAACAAUGAAGGCUCCAGGCCACAGGGGGUUCUUCUACUUCUCAGGAUACGCUAGAAACCCCCGGUCAUGUACAUAGUAAUAUAUUAUAAUGUCGUCUUCGACUCUACACCUUCUAUAGUUUUGCCCCAUCUUUCUUCCGUCCUCUGUUUUCGAUUCUUCGAGCUUGAGAUUGUUGACUUAUGUUAACUUAAAUUUCAAGAAUCCCAUGAGGGGUACUUCUUCUUCUUCAUGACCUUGAGGGAAAGCUUCAUGAUCAUUUUGAGUAAGUGAGAGCUUGAAAGGCACUAAGCAGUAGGAUAAGAGAGGUAGUUGGAUGGAGAGAGUAUAUAUUUUGGCUUCUUAUUGUUGGCUUGUCAGUUUCAACCGUUGAGGUGGCAGUUAGUUCCCCACCUUUCAUCUUUUGUUUACGAAACUCCCUGAAGUUGACUUCCAAGGAAGCUACAAAAA